This 440-nucleotide ribosomal RNA is filed under the name uncultured bacterium. Its description in RNAcentral is "partial 16S ribosomal RNA". It matches the Rfam family "Bacterial small subunit ribosomal RNA", at positions 338 to 795 of the family's 1533-position model. The record is from RNAcentral.
CCUACGGGAGGCAGCAGUGGGGAAUAUUGCACAAUGGGGGAAACCCUGAUGCAGCGACGCCGCGUGAGUGAAGAAGUAAUUCGUUAUGUAAAGCUCUAUCAGCAGGGAAGAAAAUGACGGUACCUGAGUAAGAAGCCCCGGCUAACUACGUGCCAGCAGCCGCGGUAAUACGUAGGGGGCAAGCGUUAUCCGGAUUUACUGGGUGUAAAGGGAGCGUAGUCGGGAGUGCAAGUCUGGAGUGAAAGGCGGGGGGUCAACCCCCGGACUGCUGUGGAAACUGUACGGCUGGAGUGCAGGAGAGGUAAGUGGAAUGCGUAGUGUAGCGGUGAAAUGCGUAGAUAUUAGGAGGAACACCAGUGGCGAAGGCAGCUUACUGGACUGUAACUGACGUUGAGGCUCGAAAGCGUGGGGAGCAAACAGGAUUAGAUACCCUUGUAGUC